GCCCGCAGAGCUGCUGUUCCGCCCCGGGGCAGAGAACGAAACAGCAGCUUCUGUGGGCGGAGAAUCCUUCCCCUGAGAAGCGGUAACCCGAGGGGAGGGAGAACUCUCGCUUCCGCUGGUCUCCUCUCCCGCAGACCUUCCCCGGAUUGACUCUGCCUCGGUAUAUUCCUCUGCUGCCAGGGAGAGAAGAAGCGGAGCUCACCAUGGGCUCCGAGAGUGGAGCUGCUCCGUGGCGCCUUCUCCUCACCCUGGCUUUGCUCUUCUCCUGCUGCGAAGCCCAAGUGGUUCAGAGCCCCGAGUCGCUGGUCACUGGGGAAGGGAAGGUCUCCACCAUGUCCUGCUCUUUCACCAGCACUUACCGAACCUUCUACUGGUACCAGCAGCUGCCUGGGCAAGGGCCGACCCACCUGCUGACCGCGAGCUCUAAUCAGAAUGACACUGUGGGGCGGCGGUUCAUAGGCGAGCGCCUGGAAAGUGGGAAACGCAGCUCCCUGCACAUCACCGACUCCCAGCUGGGGGACUCAGGCAGCUACCUGUGUGCGGUGGAUGCACAGUGA
Non-coding RNA from Mauremys reevesii (Reeves's turtle), 557 nucleotides. The record is from the annotation of a RefSeq genome assembly. NCBI's taxonomy places the organism in Eukaryota, Metazoa, Chordata, Testudines, Geoemydidae.